CGCUGGCGGCGUGCCUAAUACAUGCAAGUCGAGCGGAAUGAUUGAAGAAGCUUGCUUCUUCUGAUUUUAGCGCGGACGGGUGAGUAACACGUGGGCAACCUACCUUGUAGAUUGGGAUAACUCCGGGAAACCGGGGCUAAUACCGAAUAAUCCAUUUUGCUUCAUGGCGAGAUGUUGAAAGACGGUUUCGGCUGCCACUACAAGAUGGGCCCGCGGCGCAUUAGCUAGUUGGUAGGGUAAUGGCCUACCAAGGCGACGAUGCGUAGCCGACCUGAGAGGGUGAUCGGCCACACUGGGACUGAGACACGGCCCAGACUCCUACGGGAGGCAGCAGUAGGGAAUCUUCCACAAUGGACGAAAGUCUGAUGGAGCAACGCCGCGUGAGUGAAGAAGGUUUUCGGAUCGUAAAACUCUGUUGUAAGGGAAGAACACGUACGAGAGCAACUGCUCGUACCUUGACGGUACCUUAUUAGAAAGCCACGGCUAACUACGUG
RNAcentral lists this ribosomal RNA (494 nucleotides) under uncultured bacterium. RNAcentral's name for it is "bacterial SSU rRNA". It matches the Rfam family "Bacterial small subunit ribosomal RNA", at positions 34 to 507 of the family's 1533-position model. The record is from RNAcentral.